This 496-nucleotide ribosomal RNA is filed under the name uncultured bacterium. RNAcentral describes it as "partial 16S ribosomal RNA". It matches the Rfam family "Bacterial small subunit ribosomal RNA", at positions 28 to 506 of the family's 1533-position model. The record is from RNAcentral.
GAUGAACGCUGGCGGCGUGCCUAAUACAUGCAAGUCGAGCGAACAGACGAGGAGCUUGCUCCUCUGACGUUAGCGGCGGACGGGUGAGUAACACGUGUAUACCCUACCUAUAAGACUGGGAUAACUUCGGGAAACCGGAGCUAAUACCGGAUAAUAUCUUGAACCGUAUGGUUCAAUAGUGAAAGACGGUUUUGCUGUCACUUAUAGCUGGAUCCGCGCCGCAUUAGCUAGUUGGUAAGGUAACGGCUUACCAAGGCAACGAUGCGUAGCCGACGUGAGAGGGUGAUCGGCCACACAGAAGCUGAGACGCGAUCCAGACACCGACGGGAGGCAGCAGUAGCGAAGCGACCGAGAUGGGCGGAAGCCUCACGGAGCAACGGCGCGUGGGUGAUGAAAGUCUUCGGGUCGUAAGACUCUGUUAUGAGGGAAGAACGAAUGUGUAUGUGACUAUGCACGUGUGGACGGUACCGGAACAGAAAGCCACGGCAAACUACGU